RNAcentral lists this ribosomal RNA (820 nucleotides) under uncultured bacterium. RNAcentral describes it as "bacterial SSU rRNA". It matches the Rfam family "Bacterial small subunit ribosomal RNA", at positions 338 to 1147 of the family's 1533-position model. The record is from RNAcentral.
CCUACGGGAGGCAGCAGUGGGGAAUAUUGGACAAUGGGGGCAACCCUGAUCCAGCGAUGCCGCGUGAGUGAAGAAGGCCUUCGGGUCGUAAAGCUCUUUAGGUUGGGAAGAAGGUUAUGGGAGGAAAUGCCUGUAACUUGACGGUACCGACAGAAUAAGCACCGGCAAACUCUGUGCCAGCAGCCGCGGUAAUACAGAGGGUGCGAGCGUUAAUCGGAUUUACUGGGCGUAAAGGGCGCGUAGGCGGUGAGAUGUGUGUGAUGUGAAAGCCCCGAGCUUAACUUGGGAAGCGCAUCGCAAACUAUUUGACUGGAGUAUAUGAGAGGGUGGCGGAAUUUCCGGUGUAGCGGUGAAAUGCGUAGAGAUCGGAAGGAACGUCGAUGGCGAAGGCAGCCACCUGGCAUAAUACUGACGCUGAGGCGCGAAAGCGUGGGGAGCGAACAGGAUUAGAUACCCUGGUAGUCCACGCUGUAAACGAUGAGUACUAAAUGUUGGUAGGGGAACCUAUCAGUAUUGAAGUUAACACGAUAAGUACUCCGCCUGGGAAGUACGGCCGCAAGGUUGAAACUCAAAUGAAUUGGCGGGGGCCCGCACAAGCGGUGGAGCAUGUGGUUUAAUUCGAUGCAACGCGAAGAACCUUACCUACCCUUGACAUCCUGCGAAUCCCGAUGAGAGUUUGGGAGUGCCGAAAGGAACGCAACAGACAGGUGCUGCAUGGCUGUCGUUCAGCUCGUGUUGUGAGAUGUUGGGGUUAAGUCCCGUAACGAGCGCAACCCUUGCCCUUAGUUGCCACCAGGUAAAGCUUGGGGACUCUAAGGGG